Molecule: RNA transcript, 1978 nt
Organism: Polypterus senegalus (gray bichir)
Lineage: Eukaryota; Metazoa; Chordata; Cladistia; Polypteriformes; Polypteridae
Gene name: NACHT, LRR and PYD domains-containing protein 3-like
Exons: 3
Source: RefSeq, a predicted model, not a curated record
CUGUCUCUCCUCAUGUCCUCACUUCUCUCUCUUUAUCUCCACAGCCUGUUUGGUUGUGGUCUCACCUCCAGAUGUUGCUCAGCUCUCUCCUCAGCUCUUUCUUCUCCGCACUCACGACUGACUGAACUGAACCUGAACGAAAACAACAUGGAGGACUCAGGAGUGGAUCAGCUGUUUGAGUUGCUGAGGAGUGAAAACUGCAAAUUAGAGAAACUGAAACUUAACACAAAACCUGCCUGACUUGACUUUGGACUUCGAAGUGAAGAGGAGAAGAAAAAGGAGAAGAAGUGAGAGAUGGAAAUAAAUAGAAGGAGAGCAGUGACAGGGCGUCACCACCAGAGGGCAGAGCUGAGCAGAGCAGAGGACUUGGGGACCUGCAGGUUUGGUGACGUCUGUGUGACUGAUGGCCUUUGGUGUGCACUCAUAAUUUGAACCCAAGUCCAUUGACUUUAACAUUUUGUUUGAAUAUUUCUGGUAUCAUUUGUAAAGCCUUGUAAAGACCCCACCAUCUUUAUUCCACCCCCUUAUUGUCCACUGGCCUUUUCUGACUUUUUUAAACAGAUGUCAUUGAAAAGGCAGGACAUAAAGAAAUGAGCUGCUGUUGUGACAAAUUCAAACUGUGAGGACACAAACAUGUCACUCUUGUGACCCCCACACGUCCUGUGAAAUCAGCUGAUAAAGUGCUGCGGAUUUUCUUUGCUGUCAUUUUGGUCAAAUCACUUAUGGGCAGAGCUGAGAAUGGACAGCAGUGGUCAGCGGUCAUGGCGGUCUCUUCACAGUCCACUCAGACCACCUCUGUGUCCACUGGACUGGACUUUGUGAUGCUGACAGUCCAUUUGAAGCUCGUCCUCCUGCUUUAUUACAAACUAGUAGAAGAAAUAAGAAAACUGAGUUUAGCACCACUGAGGUGUUUAGUGGAAAAAGGUCAGCUGGUCAGUGUCACCAGUCAGUAUGUGAGGUCUGAGUGGCCUAGGACAGAAGUGUCACAUGUCAGUCUUAUCCUCCAUGUCCAUUAUGUCAUCACUCCUAAACUCAGCUCCAGUGUUUGUCUUUUUAAACCAACAGAGUGUCAUUGUCAUUAUCGAAUUACUGUGACAUGAGGAGUGUCCAUCAGGACAAACAGCUGAGUGUUAAGCUCUGCAGUGACCAGAAUGUCUAACAGUUGUCUUUACAUGAUGUCCUACAAAUCAGACAAACUGUCUACACAUCCUAAGUCCUGAAUGACAAAAAGAAAUCCCACUUUGUCACAAUCCCCCCCCCAUUGUCACCUUCUACAAGUCCAUGUGGCCUCUCCAGUGCAGGAUGCUGUCAGUCUCAUUUCUUUGAGGUUCAUCUCCAAUAUUAAUGUCCUUGUGUCCGUUUCAAUGACUGCUCACCUGUCAGUACAGCAGGAAGGCAGGAGACCCUCUCAGGUGUUUAGUGCCUUACUUAUAAGAACAGCGAUGGUCUUGGGUUCAAACAGGCUCAGUAUAAAAGUAAAAAUGCCAGCAGUCAUUGAGUCUUUGAGCUCUGUGGCCUUCUAUCUGUCUGUCCCUCCUCAUGUCCUCACUUCUCUUUCUUUAUCUCCACAGCCUGUCUUUUUGUGGUCUCACCUCCAGAUGUUGCUCAUCUCCCUCCUCAGUCCUCUCUUCUCCACACUCACAGCUGACUGAACUGCACCUGAGCAACAACAAACUGAGAGAUUCAGGAGCUUGUCAGCUGUGUGAGGGUCUGCGGAACCCAAACUGUAAAUUAAAGACACUGAUGGCUGGUUGAUAAUGAGAUCAGUGAGAGUGAGGAGAAGAACCUGAGGUCACUACAGAAGAAACUGAACAGGAGUGGACGGCAAGUGAAUAUCUACACAGAAGACUGAAAAUGCUGAUCAACUGACCCCAGUGAUGGUGCCCCCUGUCCAUUUCUUCUAAAUUCUUCUCUUUAUUCUUUUAUAAUCCCUUCAGCUCUCCUCCACAUUUAAUAAACUCUCCAUGUCUUCUUCUCA